AGCAGCCGCGGUAAUUCCAGCUCCAAUAGCGUAUAUUAAAGUUGUUGCAGUUAAAAAGCUCGUAGUUGAAUUUCGGGAUCAAUACGUCGGUCGUGCUUCGGUACGUACUGGCGUCAUUGAUUUCUCCCUUCUGACGAACCAUGAUGUCAUUAACUUGGUGUCAUGGGGAAUCAGGACUGUUACUUUGAAAAAAUUAGAGUGUUUAAAGCAGGCUCACGCUUGAAUACAUUAGCAUGGAAUAAUGAAAUAGGACGUUCGAUCCUAUUUUGUUGGUUUUUAGGAUCAACGUAAUGAUUAAUAGGGAUAGUUGGGGGCAUUAGUAUUCAAUUGUCAGAGGUGAAAUUCUUGGAUUUAUUGAAGACUAACUACUGCGAAAGCAUUUGCCAAGGAUGUUUUCAUUAAUCAAGAACGAAAGUUAGGGGAUCGAAGACGAUCAGAUACCGUCGUAGUCUUAACCAUAAACUAUGCCGACUAGGGAUCGGAUGAUGUUAAUUUUUUCAAUGACUCAUUCGGCGCCUUA
This 520-nucleotide ribosomal RNA is filed under the name uncultured Glomus. RNAcentral's name for it is "SSU rRNA". It matches the Rfam family "Eukaryotic small subunit ribosomal RNA", at positions 569 to 1090 of the family's 1831-position model. Lineage: Eukaryota; Fungi; Glomeromycota; Glomeromycetes; Glomerales; Glomeraceae. The record is from RNAcentral.